RNAcentral lists this long non-coding RNA (8007 nucleotides) under Sorghum bicolor (sorghum). RNAcentral describes it as "long non-coding RNA (SBIC_LNC016878)". Lineage: Eukaryota; Viridiplantae; Streptophyta; Magnoliopsida; Poales; Poaceae. The record is from RNAcentral.
GUGGCUAUCUAGCAAUACAUGCAAAGAAAGAGAUUGGGAAGCUAUUUAGCCUCCAGUGUGCAUUUGAAUCGGUCGUGUUCCACUCGAUUAGGUUACCAUUCUACCACAGCACUUUUAUGUUUCUGAUUUGUUUUUUAAAUAAGGCCUUGUUUAGUUCACCCCAAAAACCAAAAUCUUUUCAGGCCUUGUUUAGUUCGUAAAAAUUUUCAAGAUUUCCCGUCACAUCGAAUCUUUGGUCGCAUACAUGGAGCAUUAAAUAUAGAUGAAAAUAAAAAUUAACUGCACAGUUUACCUGUAAUUUGUGAGAUGAAUCUUUUGAGCCUAGUAACUCCGUGAUUAGACAAUGUUUGUCAAAUAAAAACGAAAUGCUACAGUACCCAAAAACAAAAAAUAUUGCGAACUAAACAAGGCCUCAAGAUUUUCUGUCACAUCGAAUCUUACGCCACAUGCAUUGAGUAUUAAAUAUAGACGAAAAUAAAAACCAAUUGCACAGUUUACCUGUAAAUCACGAGAUGAAUCUUUUAAACCUAUUUAAUCUAUAAUUGGAUAAUGUUUGUCAAAUAAAAACGAAAGUGCUACAGUUCCGAAAACUUUUCAGUUUUCGGAACUAAACAAGGCCUAACAAGAAAAGAAAAAAAAAGUAAAAACAAAGCAACUCACGCACACCACACAACGGAGAAAAGCAUACGCCCGGCCACCGACGCCCCUUACUCAUCCUCCCGUCCGCUCGAUCUCUCCCUCUCGUGUGUCUUUCUCCUCUCUCUCUCGCCUUCCCUUGCUGCUCCCAUCUCCAACACCGGCUCCCUCUCCAUGCCCCUUCUCUUCCCCCUAUGAUACUCAAAUCGAUCUUCAAAUCGGCAUCUCCAUCAUAGCGAUUUUUCAAUCUCAAUUCGCCUACAAGGCUGGCUGGUAUGCCACAAGUUCUUACAAAUCUUGUUAAGCUGAUCACAAGGGAGAUCCAUGGCGUCGCUGGUGGCCUCACGAGCUCCGUCCGCGGCGGCGGCGGCGGCGGUCACCUGAGCUCCAUCUGCGGCUAUGAUGGCGCGGUUUGCCGGCAUCGCUAUGCUCCCAUAAUUUUGUCACGUUGGUGGCCUUUAUUCGGUAUGAUUUUCAUAGAUUUUGUAUGUGAUUUGUUUUAGACUUCAUUUGGUAUGUGAUUUUAUUUUUGGACUCAGUCUAGAAUCCACAUUUGGUGUGGUUCAUUUUUGGGUUCGUGUCGUAUGUGGUUUGAAUUCAAUUUUGGGCAGGAGAGAUGAGGAUAUUAGAGUCCAUUAUCAGAGGAGGCUUUUUGAGUACGAGUAGCUGAUUAGAGUGGUCAGACAAAAAAAUCUAGAACAAAAAAUCAGUGGAAAUUUUAUCUCAUUAGUAUUAGAGAUAGAUUUCGGACUAUAGUAGCGUCAUACAAACCUUUGAGGCUGCCUAUUAUCAAUAGUUUCUUCAAAUAAGGUAAAUAUUUUUUUAAGCAUCAAAUUAUUAUUUUUCAUAUAUAUUUGCACAUGACAAUAUCAUGCCGAUAAUAUUUUUUAUAUAUUUUACAUGGGCCUAGACUUGCUUUAAAAAUAAACAGACAACAGUGUUUUUCUUUUGUUCGCUUGAGCUUAUUAGCCGAAUCUAUCAGCUAUUCAGUAGUGUUUUUCUCUCAGAACAAAUCAGUCAAUAAUACUUUCUGUCAUGGUUUAUCAGCCAAACGAACGGCCAUGCCCGAGCAGCCGGCGGCUAGGGCCAGCUCCGCGUCCUGCUCGUUGCCCUGCCUCGCGGCGCCCAGCUCGCCCCCUCCCCCCGGUCCACCUCUCUCUCUCUCUCUCUCUCUCUCUCUUCUGAGCUAUUUCUGUCUUUUCACGUGUAUGUUUGGCACGGGCUCAAUAGCCAUCUUUAUAUACAUUCCUACGUUUUUGCCACUCUAUCGACGAAAACUUCAUAGAUUUAGGCCUUGUUUAGUUCCAAAAUAUUUUGCAAAAUCGACACUGAAGCUCUUUCGUUUGUAUUUGAUAAAUAUUGUCCAAUCAUGGACUACUCAAAAGAUUCAUCUCGUCAAUUUCGACCAAACUGUGCAAUUAGUUUUUAUUUUUAUCUAUAUUUAAUACUUCAUGCAUGUGUCUAAAGAUUCGAUGUGACGGGGAAUCAAAAAAAUUUUGCAAAAUUUUUUGAGAACUAAACAAGGCCUUAGACAUUUUACACAUGUAGCUAGCCAAGUCAAAUGUCCAACGUGGCAGCAGCAUGUGAAAAGACCUCUCUACCCUUACCUUAUUCUUUGGCUCAACGUCCAUUGUUCAUCUUUCCCGUCCUGUUCGCCGUGGCCUCAGCGUUAGGCCUAGUUUAUAUACACUCAAAAAUCCAAAACUUUACAAGAUUCCGUGUCACAUCGAAUCUUGCGGCACAUGCAUGAAGUAUUAAAUAUAGAUAAAAAGAAUAACUAAUUGCACAGUUUACCUGUAAUUUACGAGAUGAAUCUUUUAAGCCUAGUUACUCUAUAAUUAGAUAAUGUUUGUCAAAUAAAAACGAAAAUUUUACAGUGUCAAAAUCCAAAAACUUUUUGCAUUUAAACAAGGCCUUAGCCCACAGCUACAUCGCUGCUGCACUUGCUCGCUAGGGGCUUCUGCACGAAGAUGUAGUAGAGCUUCACGGUGAGCCCUAGCAGGAGUAGCGAGGACACCACGACCAGCUCGACGCCGAUGCUACUCAAAGCUCGCAUGUUUGCUCUUGCUCUUUAUCCAAUCUAUCUAAUGGUGGCGUCUCCUCCGUCCGUUUGCCAGAGAGAAUACUGGCGAGCUAGCUUGGAUACGCCAUUAGAGACAGAGGAAGGGAGGAAUGCAGAGGUGAGAGGAAGAGGAAGAAAGCAGAGCAGCAAGAACUGAAAGCUCUGUAGCCUCGAAAGAUUGACAGGGAGCUGCAGCCACCAGGGAAUGGAGCUGAAUCUACAAGGCGCUGGAUUUUGCCUGUGGCUGUCGGAAGAAUCAUUAGAAACUGAAACAAUUGCCCGCGUUGGCAACGACACCUCAUUGCAGAACCCCAGCUCGACGAUGUCCGCGGACCGGCAUGGGAUGGCGAGCUCCUCUACGGCCUGAAGGAGCAUAGAACGACGAUGCUCCUCAGCGCUGGCGGCAGUGACAACACGGCCAAGCAAUAUAGCAGGCCAGCGCGCGGCAGCAGUGGCGGACCCGGAAACAGAUCAAAGGGGGGCUAAAUAACAUAUCUAAUUUUUUUCUCGCUCAAUCCAGUAUACUAAUAGAUAGCUAAGAGUGAUAAUUCAAUAUUGAUUCAAAGUGCUCAAAAACAAAGAUUCAUAGAAUAAACAUAGAUUCAACGUGCGUCCGCCAAUGCGCGGUAGCAAUGAUUAGGCGCGUCCGGGUAGAGCACAACAUGGUAUAGGAACUCGGCCUCUUCUCAUACUUUGGAAGAGCAUAGCGGGGGCACAUCAGCUUGCUCAGGAUGGGGAAGUUGAACUGUGGGCAGUGGCGAAGCCAGAACAUUUCAGGAGCCCGGGCAAUUCUCAUUAAAAAAUAUAAAAUCACAUAAUUUUAUAUAAAUAUAAAGAAGAUUUCUUUUGCAUUUUGGCGAGGAGCCCGGCCGGCCGCCCGGGUGGCCGGACGGUGGCUCCGCCAGUGACCGUGGGACACGCAGGAGAAGAUCGCCAUGGACACAGGGAUAAGGCUAAGGGCAUAGAAGUCUUUUCGCAUGCCACUGCAAUGUUGGAUGGGUGACUCUGCUACCCAUGUGUGCAAAAUAUCUAAAUAUGUGAAGUUUUCGUUGAUGCAAUGGCAAAAAUGUAGAAACAUAUAUAAAGAUGGCAAUUGAGUCUGUGCUAAACAUAAUAGUGGCGAAAAAUUAAAUAUCCCAAGAAACGCCUUGUUUUCGUUCCUUCCAAAUUUUGUAAUUUUUUUAGAUUUCCCGUCACAUCGAAACUCGCGACACAUGGAUAAAGCAUUAAAUAUAGAUUAAAAAAUAACUAGUUCACAAUGCGAGACGAAAUUUUUUGAGCCUAGUUAGUCCAUGAUUGGAUAAUAUUUGUCAAAUACAAAUGAAAAUGCUACAAUGUCUAUUUUGCAAAAAAAAUGGAACUAAACGAGGCUUAAACAAAAUUUGUUUUGAGGCCAAGUAAGCAAGUUUGAAUUUGAAAGAAAAAGUGCCAAAAAAACUAAGUCUAACUUUUUUCAUGGCCUGGAACUAAUUUUCUCUAACUAGAUAUAUACCGGUGCCUUACACCGGGGUUAAAAAAUACUAUUUCUUUUUAAUAUUAUAAAUUUUUCAUUGGGGACAUUAAACUAUUUCCAAUUUAAUUCAUACCUUGUCUAUUUUUUCUCCUUUUAUCAACUGAGAUCAUAUUCUCUUCAUAGAUUUACUCCUCACAUCGUUGUCUUCCUAUUUAUCAACUUUUCUGUUUCAACACAUUUAUAAUCAUUCAUUUUUUUUACCCUUUAUUUUACCCAAUCUGUUAUUCACUAAGUCUUCCCCUCACAUUUCGAUGAUGGAUCCUUUACCUCUACGUAUUUCUGAUGAUGCACGAAUUAGAAGCAAUAGGUCAUUUAGCCGGCCAAUCACAAGCCUGUUCGUUUAUCUAAAAAAUUAUAGAAAAUAAUAUUUACUAAUUUAUUAUAAGAGAAAAAUACUAACAUAUUCGAUAAAUAAGUUCAGCACUGAUAUGUUGUCGGAAAAAAAAUAUAUGCUGGUAACAUGGGAUGGUUUGACGAAGUGGGGUAGUGGGCAAGCGGGUCCAAUAGACAAUAGUAUACCUACUGUAUUUGUUAUAGUUUGUGUUUUUAUUCUUUGUGGUCGAUAGUAUACGUUCUUUUAUAUCAUUAGGUAUAUUGGGCCUUGAUCACUAGAGGAGGCAACUUCUGGGCCACGUAAUCUAUUCCAACAUCUUAAAGGGGCCGCUUCAUCCAUGAUUUUGGGCCUGCACUGGACCUAGGCCGCGACGAGGAUCACUGCUUGCGCUGCGAGAAUGUGGGUGCAGUGCUGUGCGGGCCCUGAUAGAAAGCGCACGCAAAUAAAUUCACGAGGGUACACCGCGCCAGCAGAAAUCAUACGCAAAAUUCGCAAAAUAUGCUGAGGCAGCAAAGCUGCAACACGGACAGAAAAGUUGGUUCGCACGGCCCAUGACGGCAGAUUAUUUUUCUAUUUAUUUUAUUGAUUUCCAUGCUGGAAGGUGUAUAGUUUUCUACUAACUAAAAAAAUAUAACUGCUAAACCGAUAUCUAAAUUAAAUUCUAAUUGUACCAUUAUAUAUUUUUUAUAAUAAAUACUUCAAAACAAGAUUCCAGAUAAAUAUAUUUAGAUAAAAUUUUAUUAACAAACAUUAAUUUCAUAAAAAUAGAACAUUUUCUUUUAUUUAGCAGGGACGAUGUUCUUGGCUUAUAGAACAAUGUUUUGUGUUCAUAAGAAAAAAUAUUAUCUAUUUAGAAGAAUCAUAUUCUAGUUUUUAGACUCAUCAAAUUGAUAUUAUAAUAUACGUAAAAAUAAAUACAUAAUAUAAAUAAAGAAUCUAGAGCAAAGCAUAACAACAAAUAAAAACACGUAAUAGAAAAAAAAUUAAAAGAACAUCACACGAAUACUUUUCAACCAUUCUAAAAUAUAUUAGAAAACAUCAGAUAUGUACUAAGUGAACAUUCCUAAAUACACCAUAGAAACAUCAUUGAAUAUAUUACAGAACAUCGCAUAUAUAUUACAUGAGCAUUACUAAAUAUAUUAUAGAACACCACAUGUGUACUAAGUGAAUAUUACUAAAUACACCAUAAAACAUCACUUAAAAUAUAUUAUAAAACAUCACAUAUAUAGUACGUAAACAUCACUAAAUAUAUAAUAAAACAUCACAUGUAUAUUAAGUGAACAUCACAAAAAAAAUCAUAAAACAUCACAUAUAUACUAUAUGAACAUCACAGAAUACAUCUAGAACAUCAUUGUAUAUUACGUGAACAUCACAUGUAUACUACACAAACAUCACAAGACACAUCAUAGAACAUCACAUAUACAUCACGUGAAAAUUUAAAAAAACAUCACAUAUAUAACACGUCAACAUCACAAAAAAAAAUAUAGAACAUCUACAUGAUAUCAUCAAAAACAACAUAGAUCAUCAUAAAAAGAUAAUAAAAGAAAAAUAAAUAAAAUAAAGGUAAUAUAAAAAAUUAAAAUAAUAAUAAACACAUAAAACAGAAAAAGAAAUUAGAAAAAAAAAUAAAUGGUGCAUGAAAAGAAAAAAGGAAAAAGACAAAAAAAAAAGAAAAGGAAAAAAGGAAAUAACUAAAGAAAGGUAAAAAAAUAAAAACAUGAAUCAAAUAAAAACAUAAAUUAGAAAAGGAACAAAAAGUAAAUAAAUAAAAGAGAAAAAAGAAAACUAAAAAAGAGAAAAAAAAACUAUGUGAAAAAGAAAAAGAAAAAAAGAAUAUAAUAUGAAAGGACAAAAGAAGGAACGAUGAUGGCUGGCCACGGUAAUAAAAAAAUAAAAAAAACAAGAAGAAACGAAACAAGAAAAGAAAUCGAAAAGUAAUAAAUGGAAAAAGAAAAAGAAAUGAAACAAGAACAGAAAAUUUUAAAAAAAAUGAAAUAUCAACAAAACAACGAUCCAGCCUACGAACGAAAAAACAUGGUUGUGGGCCGGCCUCAGCAUGGGCUGUCCACGCACGCAGCAUCCACGCUCCCGUCCGUGUGCAGCAUCCAUCACGCGGGAAUCGUCGCACGGAAGACUCGGAUGCUGGCGCGGGAAAUCAUCGGCGGAGCCGCGGAGGCUUCCAAGAAUUUCGGUGCUGUGGCACGUGCCACCCGACGCGGCAUCGACCACACCGCCCAGCGACGGCGACAGAGCAAACUAGAUGCGUGCGGACCAUGUCGGUAACGGUAAGCCGACCGGCAUAGUUAACUACUCAAAUUGCAUGUCCUAGAUCAAAACAAUAAUGCGUCCGGGUAGCCCAGGUAAUAUUGUAGCCACGCACAUGGGUCCACCUUCACUUAGGCCUUGUUUAGGCCUUGUUUAGUUCCCAAAAAUUUUGCAAAACUUUUCAAAUUCUCUGUCACAUCGAAUCUUUAGACGUAUGCAUGGAGUAUUAAAUAUAGAUGAAAAUAAAAACUAAUUAUACAGUUUGGUCAGAAUUGACGAGACGAAUCUUUUGAACCUAGUUAGUCUAUAAUUAGACAAUAUUUAUCAAAUACAAACGAAAAUACUACUAUUCACGUUUUGCAAAAAAUUUUGAAAGUAAACAAGGCCUUAGUUCCUAAAAAUUUUAGUUUUUGGCUACUAUAGCAUUUCGUUUUUAUUUGACAAAAACAUUGCCCAAUCACAGAGUAACUAGGCUCAAAAGAUUCAUCUCACAAAUUACAGGUAAACUGUGUAAUUAGUUUUUAUUUUUGUCUAUAUUUAAUGCUUCAUGCAUGCGACCAAAGAUUCGAUGUGACGGGAAAUCUUGAAAAAUUUUUGCGAACUAAACAAGGCCUUAUCAAAGCAAUUCAGUAUCCACAGAGUAUGUAGGAUGUGUUCCUGAAAUCAGUGUCCUAGAUUUUAUUUCGUAGAUUUUAACAAUCCGAUACAGACGGUACCUACGAUGCUGUUCGAUUCUCGAUUCCCAAUAGUAACCGACUAGAAAACCUUGGGUGUGACGCGCCAUUUUAGAGCCAAUUAGUAGUGAAAUCCAGUGGAGUUUGUCCUGGUCGCUUAAACUUAUCUGCAUAACUUAUUAGCCAUGAUAUGAUGUUUUUCUUUCACAACAAGUAAACAUUAGCCGCAGAAACCAUCAAUCUUAGAAUAUGAUGCUGAAAUAGUUGAGUUUUGAAGAGAAUUCUUAAUAUGAUAGUAGGCAUUUAUAUAGCCAAUAUGGUUUCAAGAGUCAUAUUAAUGUAUGAAGUGAUGAAAUGUGGACAGUCUCAUACUUUUGCACAGUUCAUAUUCAAAUAUGAUUUCAGCUUCAACACACUGCUAAUCUUGCUUUGCACAUGAUAUUUGACAGACUGUUGUGCCCAGUAAUCGUCAUUUCUGCGUGAGUGAUUAAAAUCGAAUAAAGUAGCGGUGUUUGUCAUCUGG